UGGGAUUACUGGGUGCUUCCUCAACAUUCCAGGUCAGGACAAAAAUUUUGCAGGAAAGAGAGGAAUGCAGCCUAUGACCCGAAAGCCUGAAGAAAAAUAAUUCCUGCAACUUUCGGUUUCCAAAAUGGCUGCGAUGACGUCACUUCUGGCCAACCUUGAUGAUGUCACUUCAGGCUCCCGCAAAUCACCUCACUUCCGGUGCAUCAUGAUGAUGUUGGUUCCGGUUCCUGCUGCAACGUCGCUUCCUGCCAACCAUUUCCUGUCCUAUGAUCCAUUCUGUUAUAAAGCGGCCAUUUUUUCUGAGUAAAAUGUUCAUUUUACUUAUCAA
Molecule: long non-coding RNA, 328 nt
Organism: Polypterus senegalus (gray bichir)
Lineage: Eukaryota; Metazoa; Chordata; Cladistia; Polypteriformes; Polypteridae
Exons: 2
Source: RefSeq, a predicted model, not a curated record